GUCUUCUAGGGUGUCUUGGUGGCCAGGCCUCAUACUGAGGUGCAGCAACAGAGUAUUGAGGGUUCUGAGGUGGAUAAUAUUGCUCAGGGGAGUCAUGGAAAACCUGAGGGAGUGAUCAUACCUUCGAGAUGUUCUCCAGGUAAGGAAUUUUGUUAACCCGGGAGAAGGUGUUAGACACUUCCGAGUUCCGUGGUUCUAGCACGGUCGCUUUGAUCCUACUU
RNAcentral lists this long non-coding RNA (221 nucleotides) under Nicotiana benthamiana. Its description in RNAcentral is "long non-coding RNA (NBEN_LNC026549)". Lineage: Eukaryota; Viridiplantae; Streptophyta; Magnoliopsida; Solanales; Solanaceae. The record is from RNAcentral.